CCGACUGCUAUUUGGGUGAGACUAAGCCAUGCGAGUUGAAUGGAAUACCUAAAUUUUCCAUAGCAAACUGCUCAGUAACACAUGAUCAACUUGCCCUAUGGAGAAAAAUAACCUCGGGAAACUGAGGAUAAUGUUUCACAGUUGAGAAGGCUUGGAAAAGUUUUUCAAUGAAAGGAGUAAGGAAAUGGUCCUUACUUGCCAUAGGAUAGGAUCGUGGGCGAUUAUGGUUGUUGGUGAGGUAACGGCUCACCAAGCCGAUAAUCGCUAGGGGCCGUGAGAGCGGGAGCCCCGAGAUGGGUACUGAGACAGCGACCCAGGCCUUACGAGGCGCAGCAGGCGCGGAACCUCCGCAAUACACGAAAGUGUGACGGGGUUACCCAAAGUGUCCAAUUUUGGACUGUGGUAGGUGAGUAAUGUUCCCUACUAGAAAGGAGAGGGCAAGGCUGGUGCCAGCCGCCGCGGUAAAACCAGCUCUUCAAGUGGUCGGGAUAAUUAUUGGGCUUAAAGUGUCCGUAGCCGGUUUAGUAAGUUCCUGGUAAAAUCGGGUAGCUUAACUAUCUGCAUGCUAGGAAUACUGCUAUACUAGAGGGCGGGAGAGGUCUGAGGUACUACAGGGGUAGGGGUGAAAUCUUAUAAUCCUUGUAGGACCACCAGUGGCGAAGGCGUCAGACUGGAACGUGCCUGACGGUGAGGGACGAAAGCCAGGGGAGCGAACCGGAUUAGAUACCCGGGUAGUCCUGGCCGUAAACGAUGCAUACUAGGUGAUGGCACGGCCAUGAGCCGUGUCAGUGCCGAAGGGAAACCGUUAAGUGUGCCGCCUGGGAAGUACGGUCGCAAGGCUAAAACUUAAAGGGAUUGGCGGGGGAGCACCACAAGGGGUGAAGCCUGCGGUUCAAUUGGAUUCAACGCCGGGAAGGG
Molecule: ribosomal RNA, 918 nt
Filed under: uncultured archaeon
Lineage: Archaea
Description: bacterial SSU rRNA
Rfam family: Archaeal small subunit ribosomal RNA
Source: RNAcentral